UUGAAAGACCAAAAACAGUGAAAAAAAAGAGGUCAGGUUGCCUCUAGAGUUCCCCCGAACACUUCACUGGGAACUUGCUGAGAGUUUCUCUCAUCGGCUUAUUCAUAAAUUUCCUACUGAAGUGUUUGGGGGAACUCCUGAUGUUGCUUGACAAUAAACUUCGCCUCGGUCAAUGCUAACGAGUCAUGGCAAAGCUAAUACAAGGGAGGGUUUAUGAAGGGCUUGUGUCUGGUUGGUAAGGUGCUCUGGAAAUGUAUAACAUACUCUAUUGCGAGAAGUGUUUAAUCAGCUCAUCUUAAUUCAUUGAUACCCUCAGAAGCACUAGCCCUCGAUCAAUUGGUUGGAGCAGGAACGAUCUAAUUCCCAUCUGGUUUACAUGGUGAUACUUGAAUGCCCAUGCAGCAAAAUCAUCUCCUUCACUGGAGCCGUAAAUCCUAAAUUUAUUAUCAUUUUAACGUCGUUUCGCCAUUUCCACGCUUUUUUCAAAUUACAAGCAUCAUAGCUUACUGAACUUGUCAAGCUAGUCUAGCCUUACCUAUCGAAUGGAAGUCGUUGGGUAGUCCUUGAAAAUAAUUCACCGAAGCUAGAGAAAUACGGACUCUGAAUAUUUGGUUUUACUCUAUCUGUUUAAGUUGAUUCAGCGGAACCCUAGCUGGCAAAGGCAAGAACCAUCAAAUAGGAGUUCAUCAUUACGAUUUAAGAAAGUUCGUUUGCUGAUAAGCAAUCAUCUUUAUUCUCUUUCGACUGUCGCGGGGUGAUCUUCACCAACUAAAAUUAGAGAAAUGGUGGUACUGCACUGGAAAUUGCUCGCCGGAGGCAGUGGACGAAUUCCAGUUAUGUCUGUUCAAAUUAAGGCUAAAGGAGAAUCCACAGCUUCAGAUCACUUGCUAAUCUAAGAUACUGUUCUAUCUAUUCAUUUGCUCAAUUUUCUUAAUUUAUUUUCGUGAGAGAAAGGUCAACCGACAUUUAUAAUAUGUUCACUUCUCUUUGUUUUCGUCA
Molecule: long non-coding RNA, 999 nt
Organism: Syzygium oleosum
Lineage: Eukaryota; Viridiplantae; Streptophyta; Magnoliopsida; Myrtales; Myrtaceae
Exons: 2
Source: RefSeq, a predicted model, not a curated record